GGAUGUGAGGGCGAUCUGGCUGCUACAUCUGUCACCCCAUUGAUCGUCAAGGUUGAUUCGGCUGAUCAGGCUGGUUAGGCGGGUGUCUCCUUCCUCCCUCACCGCUCCAUGUGCUUCCCUCCCAAAGCUGCGCGCUGGGUCGAAGAGGACGACCAUCCCCGAUAGAGGAGGACCGUUCUUUGGUCAAGGGUAUACGAGUAGCUGUGCUCCCCUGCUAGAACCUCCAAACAAGCUCUCAAACACUAGAAAGUAGUUAUAAAAUCAAGAUAAAGUGAAGAAAAGGAUAACGAGUU
This 293-nucleotide small nuclear RNA is filed under the name Castor canadensis (American beaver). RNAcentral describes it as "7SK RNA (ENSCCNG00000026349.1)". It matches the Rfam family "7SK RNA". Rfam says of the family: 7SK was discovered as an abundant small nuclear RNA in the mid-70s but a possible function has only recently been suggested. Lineage: Eukaryota; Metazoa; Chordata; Mammalia; Rodentia; Castoridae. The record is from Rfam by way of RNAcentral.